GACGAACGCUGGCGGCGUGCUUAACACAUGCAAGUCGAACGGAAAGGCCCUGCUUUUGUGGGGUGCUCGAGUGGCGAACGGGUGAGUAACACGUGAGUAACCUGCCCUUGACUUUGGGAUAACUUCAGGAAACUGGGGCUAAUAUCGGAUAGGAGCUCCUGCUGCAUGGUGGGGGUGGGAAAGUUUCGGCGGUUGGGGAUGGACUCGCGGCUUAUCAGCUUGUUGGUGGGGUAGUGGCUUACCAAGGCUUUGACGGGUAGCCGGCCUGAGAGGGUGACCGGCCACAUUGGGCCUGAGAUACGGCCCAGACUCCUACGGGAGGCAGCAGUGGGGAAUAUUGCACAAUGGGCGGAAGCCUGAUGCAGCAACGCCGCGUGCGGGAUGACGGCCUUCGGGGUGUAAACCGCUUUCGCCUGUGACGAAGCGUGAGUGACGGUAAUGGGUAAAGAAGCACCGGCUAACUACGUG
This 468-nucleotide ribosomal RNA is filed under the name uncultured bacterium. Its description in RNAcentral is "partial 16S ribosomal RNA". It matches the Rfam family "Bacterial small subunit ribosomal RNA", at positions 28 to 507 of the family's 1533-position model. The record is from RNAcentral.